UACGGAGGGUGCGAGCGUUGUCCGGAUUUAUUGGGUUUAAAGGGUGCGUAGGUGGCUUUAUAAGUCAGUGGUGAAAUACAGCCGCUCAACGGUUGAGGUGCCAUUGAUACUGUGGAGCUUGAAACAAGUGGAGGCUGCCGGAAUGGAUGGUGUAGCGGUGAAAUGCAUAGAUAUCAUCCAGAACACCGAUUGCGAAGGCAGGUGGCUACGUUUGAUUUGACACUGAGGCACGAAAGCAUGGGGAGCAAACAGG
Molecule: ribosomal RNA, 253 nt
Filed under: uncultured bacterium
Lineage: Bacteria
Description: partial 16S ribosomal RNA
Rfam family: Bacterial small subunit ribosomal RNA
Source: RNAcentral